GUCAAUUCAAGUCAUGCAGGCUGUGAGAAACGUGGGGUCGUGGUUCCUGCGGUCCUGGACUUGGACCCAGACAACCGGCAGGGUCGUGGCCAGGACGCCGGCCGGGACCAUCCACACAGGCGCUCGACAGCUCCAAGACGCUGCGGCCAAGCAGAAAGUUGAAGUGAAGGCGGCUCCGAGCCACACCAAGUUCAGGCUUCUAGGGGCAUAGAUUAGUUCUCUCUUAUUUCCCUGAAGAAGAGUUGUAUCCUAUGUGCUUCUUCUACUUUUCUCAGCACACUGAUCCAGGUAGUCUCUGCCAGUAAUGAGCCCCUUGCCCUUGCUUCCUGUGGCACAGAGGGAUUUCGGAAUGCCAAGAAGGGCACAGGCGUCGCAGCACAGACAGCAGGCAUAGCCGCAGCAGCGAGAGCUAAACAAAAGGGCGUGAUCCACAUCCGAGUUGUGGUGAAAGGCCUGGGGCCAGGACGCUUGUCUGCAAUGCACGGACUGAUCAUGGGGGGCCUG
Molecule: small RNA, 504 nt
Filed under: Pongo abelii (Sumatran orangutan)
Lineage: Eukaryota; Metazoa; Chordata; Mammalia; Primates; Hominidae
Description: processed transcript
Source: RNAcentral